RNAcentral lists this ribosomal RNA (448 nucleotides) under uncultured bacterium. RNAcentral's name for it is "bacterial SSU rRNA". It matches the Rfam family "Bacterial small subunit ribosomal RNA", at positions 355 to 796 of the family's 1533-position model. The record is from RNAcentral.
UCGUGAAUCUUCCGCAAUGAGCGCAAGCUUGACGGAGCGACGCCGCGUGGAGGAAGAAGGCCUUCGGGUUGUAAACUCCUGUCAGGACUUACGAACAGACCGGGUCAAUACCCCGCGUCGAUGACGAAGGGUCCAGAGGAAGCCACAGCUAACUUCGUGCCAGCAGCUGCGGUAAUACGAAGGUGGCGAGCGUUGUUCGGAUUCACUGGGCAUAAAGGGCGCGUAGGCGGUGCCGCAAGCGGCGUGUGAAACUCCGGGGCUCAACCCCGGAACUGCGUGCUGGACUGCGGUGCUCGAGUGCGGGAGGGGGGUGCGGAACUCUAGGUGGAGCGGUGAAAUGCGUAGAUAUCUAGAGGAACACCGGUGGCGAAAGCGACACCCUGGCCCGCAACUGACGCUGAGGCGCGAAAGCGUGGGUAGCAAACAGGAUUAGAUACCCCCGUAGUCC